GCCACAUCCCGGCAGCCCUCCUACCUGCGCACGUGGUGCCGCCGCUGCUGCCUCCCGCUCGCCCUGAACCCAGUGCCUGCAGCCAUGGCUCCCGGCCAGCUCGCCUUAUUUAGUGUCUCUGACAAAACCGGCCUUGUGGAAUUUGCAAGAAACCUGACCGCUCUUGGUUUGAAUCUGGUCGCUUCCGGAGGGACUGCAAAAGCUCUCAGGGAUGCUGGUCUGGCAGUCAGAGAUGUCUCUGAGUUGACGGGAUUUCCUGAAAUGUUGGGGGGACGUGUGAAAACUUUGCAUCCUGCAGUCCAUGCUGGAAUCCUAGCUCGUAAUAUUCCAGAAGAUAAUGCUGACAUGGCCAGACUUGAUUUCAAUCUUAUAAGAGUUGUUGCCUGCAAUCUCUAUCCCUUUGUAAAGACAGUGGCUUCUCCAGGUGUAACUGUUGAGGAGGCUGUGGAGCAAAUUGACAUUGGUGGAGUAACCUUACUGAGAGCUGCAGCCAAAAACCACGCUCGAGUGACAGUGGUGUGUGAACCAGAGGACUAUGUGGUGGUGUCCACGGAGAUGCAGAGCUCCGAGAGUAAGGACACCUCCUUGGAGACUAGACGCCAGUUAGCCUUGAAGGCAUUCACUCAUACGGCACAAUAUGAUGAAGCAAUUUCAGAUUAUUUCAGGAAACAGUACAGCAAAGGCGUAUCUCAGAUGCCCUUGAGAUAUGGAAUGAACCCACAUCAGACCCCUGCCCAGCUGUACACACUGCAGCCCAAGCUUCCCAUCACAGUUCUAAAUGGAGCCCCUGGAUUUAUAAACUUGUGCGAUGCUUUGAACGCCUGGCAGCUGGUGAAGGAACUCAAGGAGGCUUUAGGUAUUCCAGCCGCUGCCUCUUUCAAACAUGUCAGCCCAGCAGGUGCUGCUGUUGGAAUUCCACUCAGUGAAGAUGAGGCCAAAGUCUGCAUGGUUUAUGAUCUCUAUAAAACCCUCACACCCAUCUCAGCGGCAUAUGCAAGAGCAAGAGGGGCUGAUAGGAUGUCUUCAUUUGGUGAUUUUGUUGCAUUGUCCGAUGUUUGUGAUGUACCAACUGCAAAAAUUAUUUCCAGAGAAGUAUCUGAUGGUAUAAUUGCCCCAGGAUAUGAAGAAGAAGCCUUGACAAUACUUUCCAAAAAGAAAAAUGGAAACUAUUGUGUCCUUCAGAUGGACCAAUCUUACAAACCAGAUGAAAAUGAAGUUCGAACUCUCUUUGGUCUUCAUUUAAGCCAGAAGAGAAAUAAUGGUGUCGUCGACAAGUCAUUAUUUAGCAAUGUUGUUACCAAAAAUAAAGAUUUGCCAGAGUCUGCCCUCCGAGACCUCAUCGUAGCCACCAUUGCUGUCAAGUACACUCAGUCUAACUCUGUGUGCUACGCCAAGAACGGGCAGGUUAUCGGCAUUGGAGCAGGACAGCAGUCUCGUAUACACUGCACUCGCCUUGCAGGAGAUAAGGCAAACUAUUGGUGGCUUAGACACCAUCCACAAGUGCUUUCGAUGAAGUUUAAAACAGGAGUGAAGAGAGCAGAAAUCUCCAAUGCCAUCGAUCAAUAUGUGACUGGAACCAUUGGCGAGGAUGAAGAUUUGAUAAAGUGGAAGGCACUGUUUGAGGAAGUCCCUGAGUUACUCACUGAGGCAGAGAAGAAGGAAUGGGUUGAGAAACUGACUGAAGUUUCUAUCAGCUCUGAUGCCUUCUUCCCUUUCCGAGAUAACGUAGACAGAGCUAAAAGGCUUAAUCAUGAGAAAAACAUCAGAUAUAACCUAGCCGAAGGACUUUACAAAAUACCUUCCUACUGUCAAGAUCAUCAAAAAGAGAAGCAUGAGAAACUUUCAUGCCUAGAAGGGCCUAAGGAGAUGUGAUAUCAAGGCUUUAAGCAAGAUUCAGAUGAAGGGCCUGCUUUACCAGCUCACCUAUGAAUAUGGAAGCAUCAGCUUACUUUUUGCAGCACAUGUGUCUCAGGGGGUUGUCCCUUCCCACAGUGUGUAGAUUGGCAUCGAGAUGACGUUCUCUCUCCAGGGUGCAGUGAUGACCGACAUAUGCAGUGACAUGGUAGCCUGUCACCUGGCCGGAGAUGGCAUGGGAGAUGGAAACGGGACCAAGCUGAGCCAGUGAGGCUCCUGCCUGAAGUUUUUACUGGAAAUGGGAGGACACACAUGUUCUCUUUCACUACUGUUCUUAAGCUGGCAGGGGGUAAAGCAAGCUCAUGGAGGUCAGUCAUCAAUGGCACCAUCAGCAGAGACCCCGCUGAAGCACGAAGCCAGUGCAUGGGAAGGCACGCGGAGCAAGAGGGAGUCCGGGCGCCAUUGCUGGAGCAGCCCCUGAAGCCGGUGGGUCCUGGGACUGUUCCAUUGUGUGGGCCAUUUUUGCUUGAGUUGGACUUUUUUCUUACAACUAAAAUGCAGCCCUAAAUAAUACAGUCACUUUCUUUUUUAUAUUAGAAUUUAAAUAUUUUAGACAUAUUUCUCUGUUUAAGCACAUAUGCCCCUUAAUACCUAACACAAUACCAGUGACUACCUCCUUACAGAAUCACUGAAUCUUGCUUUCAUAUGAGAAAGUGAACAGUUUCCACUCCUGUCUUAAAUGUUUCAUUUAGCACUUGAGAAUAGAAUAAGUGUCGCACAUGAAAGGUUUCAUGUGCAUAAAUAAUGAGAAGAUGCUGAAGUGAGACCAAAAUCAACUUCCCAGCAAAUUCAUUCUCCAUCACACAAUUUCAUACCAGAAUGACUGAGUUCUAAGGUCAUACAAUCACAGUCGUUGUAAGUGUUAAUGGGAGAGAGAGAGAGAGAGAGACAGAGAGAGAUACUGAAUUCAAUCUAAAUUCCAAUCUCCAAUUCUCCUCCAUCAGAAUUGGGAGCACCUCCCUCCCCAUGUAAUCACUGGGGGUGAAACAAGAUCAUAGUAGUUUCCAUGGGCUGCCCCUGGUGGAGCCAAGACAGGCCCCUGAACACCCCUGCUGCCAGAUUAAUUUUCCCAAAGACUAUUUUCCAUCAUGUUUCUUUGCAUCUUGGAUACCUGUAAUUGGUUAAUGCAUUUGGCAUUAACCAAUGAGUCUCACCCUUGAGUGUGAAGCAUGCCCCUCACCCACCAGGAUUUGGGGAGUUGCUGGGAGGGCAUGUCUUCGUUGAAAACAAAGGGCUGUCACAUUCCAUUGCUUUUGAGUUACACAUAAUUUCAUUUUGAAAUUUGAAAUCAUAUUAGAGAAAGGCUUAUUAUUUUUUGUUAUACUGGGCAUAUUUUAGAAAUGGUUGAGAAGUACUGGCUUAAAUAAUGGGUUGCCAAGGCCCUCCAUAAGCCACUUCUUCCCAUCUAUUUUCUUACCAGAAGACAGCAGGCAGAGGGUUGGCUCACCAAAGCCCACCUGGGCCAGCUCCUUUCUAUCCCAGGGGGUGUGUCUCUCUGCUUUCUCCCCUCCCAACUAAACCUUAGUCAUCGUAAACCUCAGCCAGUUCAUGCUUCUCUUUCUUGCUAAUUCCAGCCUACCCAGAACUGUAUUUGUCAGACCCACUUAGAACUUAAUUAGCUUGACUUUGAAAUGUAUGCUAAUUUAACAUCUUCAACUAUAUCAUUAAGAGCCAAGCCAUUUCUCAUUUCCUCUGUUUUUCCUAUACUACUUAGCACAGUGCUAGACCUAUAACAAGCAUCUGUUCUGAAUCAAGAGAGAGGUUAAAAGAAGUGGCAUUUUCUUACAUCUGAGAUAUUAUUCAAAAUAUUUAACAACGUUGCCAUGGGACACCUGUCCAUCAGAAUGGAGUUGGAGGCCUAGAGCUACACUGCACUUAACACUUUGCUGAAAAAUAGAAGCAGCCUGAGAAUAGUAGGGGAGGGGAGGGUCUCAGGCUGCCCAGGAUGGGGAGAACCGGCUGAAAUGAAACACAUUCUAUUUACCACUAAUUAAUUUGAAUAGUAUCUCUGCUUCACUAUUUUUCAGUGUAAAUAGUAUCUCUGACAUGCUAGGGAGCUUAGGAAAAUGAUUCUAACAUCAUAUAAAUGACAGGUGUUGCUAUUAAGAAUGACUCAAGACUUGUGUUUUUGGUACUCUACAUGCCAUUCAUUCAUUCUUUCUACUAAGAGUAAUAGAAAGAAUGAAUGGCAUGUAAGGUAGACAUAGAGCUGCUCUAGAGCUCUAUGUCAGCAGUUGUAUGCCAACAGGAAAUGUGGUAUUUUAAUACUUCCGAAGGGUCUCUGCCCCUCCUGUGUGUACGACACAUCCUUGCAGGAGCCCACCCUUUAUCUUAUCUAACUUGUAGGGAGCCUGGCACAUCCAGUCUUACCCGCUGGCCUCCAAAGCAUGUGCAGGAGCAAAUGGCACCGAGAUAUUCCUUCUGCCACUGUUCUCCUACGUGGUAUGUCUUCCCAUCAUCAUAACACGUUGCCUCAUCUGCAUAUAGACACAAGACAGAUGCACGCAUAAGCUGAGAACAAUACUGCAGACUUGAUCUAGGGGUGGGUUCUAUUUCUGUCCUAAAUUUGUAUCAUCACAGCGCAAACACCACAUAUUUAUGUGAAUCAUCCCUAAGAGCAGUACUGCUAUACAGAUCUUAGGGUGGCACUUCCAAAAAUUAGACCUAAUACACUGGAAAGGGUCCAACGGGAAGAUGGAAAUCAUAUUUUAAAAGUUGAAUCUACAGACCAAUAAAGCUUCUUUGUAGCAUUUUACUGCAGAUAAUGGUCAAAAUACUCAGGUUGGACAAGUGCUAAAGUGUCCUGUAAUAACAUUAAAUCAUGACUCAUUUUUGAAGCUUGUCUCCACUUUCCCAAAUCAAAAGAUUAAGAAACCCACUGUUCACUCCUCAAGGAGACCUAAAGUCUCCAAUCAUUUCUGUGAAUGAGAGUUACAGCCUGAUAAUGAAAGUGAGAAUGCUUAAUAAGGCACUAAAAAUGAUCUGUGAUGACAUACGAGGGUCACACUUGAAUUCUCCUUUUCCGUUCCCAAGACAUGUGCAGCUCAUCAUCUGGCCAUUUUCUCCCUGACGGUCCCACUUCUCUCCAAUCUUGUAGUUCACACCAUUGUCAUGGCACCAUCCUGUAGGGGUGGGGAAAGUCAGGACCAAAAAGUUAUUUGUAUAUUCUGACUCACAAGACAGUAGGUGAACUGGGACGUGUCACAGGGUCUUCAGAACCAUGAUCUGGAAAAAUAGCAAGUUAAAGAUAAAAACCCCUAUAAUGGGCCAUUUAUUUUAUUUAUUUAUUUACUUUUUAUUUUUUUUUUUUUUUUUGAGACAAAGUCUUUCUCUGUCGCCCAGACUGGAGUGAAGUGGUGCAAUCUCGGCUCACUGUAACCUCCAUCUCCUGGGUUCAUGCAGUUAUCCUGCCUCAGCCUCCUGAGUAGCUGGGAUUACAGGCACUCCCCACAGUGCUAUUUUUUUUUUUUUUUUUUUUUUUGUAUUUUUUGUAGAGAUGGGGUUUUACCAUGUUGGGUAGGCUGGUCUCAAACUCGUGAGCUCAGGUGAUCCACCCGCCUCAGCCUCCAAAAGUGCUGGGAUUACAGGUGUGAGCCACCACACCUGGCCAAUGGGCCAUUUCUUUGGUUGAAUUUUAAAAUAUUAUUUUUUAUCAUUUACCAUUUUCUAGGGCAUUUUAAGACCCAAUUUAUUCUGCCACAAUCAUGUCAUCAGAAUAGUCAAAUGAAAUGACUUUCAUUUGAAUUCUCACUAUUAAGAUUUAAAAUUGUGGAAAACUAAAGUGGGAUUGGAGUAGACUGUUAGGAAUAGAUCCUAGAUGAAAAAUCACUUUUGGAUUUGCAGAAACCCUGGAUACAAAGUAGUUCAAUUAACCAUAAAACAAGGAUCAGCUGAUCUCUACACGCCACCACCUGUUUCAUGUACAUGGGAAGAGUAAAAAAUGAACCCGGAUAAAAUAAAACAAAAGCAAACAAAAUGCUAAAUCAUUGGUUAUUAUCCACAUCAAAUAAGUCUGGUUCUGUGGAAUAUCUAAAAGUCACAGUUUUAUGCCUUUAACUACUAUACAUAAGGGAUGACUUUUUAACCUCCAGGGCUUAUACAACAAAACACACCUCAGAAGCUUAUAUAACAAUAUACUACUUUUUCCAUUUUAUCAACAAUUCAGCCUGCCUUAAGCUACAAAGUAAAAUAAUUAGACAACUGUGAUAUCAAAACAAAGAUUAUGUAAGUUGAGCCAAAGAGUCACAUAAAUGAACUUGACAUCCCCGCUCCCACAAUUGCACCUAAGUGCUCAAACAGGUAAUAAACAUACAAACUUAAACGUAGUUCGAUUUCAGGAGUUAAAAACCAUCUACUUGAAGUCAAAUAUUAAAAUUUCCAGCUCCUAAACAGCAUGUGAUGUUUUUAGUGUUUUUCAUUUUCAGAUGGUCAAACAUGGAAGUCUAUAUUGAAAACACUGGCUGGCUUUUACAACUUCAGUCUGGAUUAAAUGAUUUCAAGUAUACAAGUUAAGUAAAAUACUUUGAAAAUCUCUUUUACCAAGUCUUAUAUUCUAAUUCCACAGGAUAUGAUUUCUGUAUGUCUAUAGGAGGCUUAUUUAUAGGCAUAACGGUCAACACCUAUAAAAAUGAACCAAUUGUCAAUAAUCAUCACAUCUCCUAAACACAAAGAAUAAAUGAAAGGUUUAUAAAUUCUAAUCCUAAUCUCAAAGCAUAAUAGAUAUUUCCUAGGCACAUUUUAACUUAAAAAAUUUGAAAAUUAAAACGUAUUAGAAUUUGAAAAUCAAACAUUUAUCAAUUCAAGUUGAUUUUUAAUGAUCUAAAAGCAGAUUAUCUGUUUUUUCUUUCAUAUUUCUAGCAACGUUCAAGCUACCUGGGCUAUGUGUGUGACGCAAAAGUGUGUGCAUGGGUACUAUGAUAUGUGCAUGUUUGGUUUAUGUUGAAGGAGGCUGUUUUUGAGUCUAAAUGUUCACCUCUGAUCUCAUUCAACACUGAAGAUUAAAAGAGAUUUGAGGUUUUUCUGUGUCUCUAAUACUCUUAAAUAGACCUGGUUCCAAAAGUCUUUAUCCAUUUGUUUUCACAGAAAAUUUCAAAAAUCAAAUUAGCACCAUAAUCUUAUGUGUAAUUAAUAGUUGUAUUGGCAUACAACCCUUGAAAUGAAGCAAUGUCCAACAAGUAAAAUUUCCCAUCAUUUUUCUAUGAUGCAAAAUAUUACUUCGAGUCAAACAGUAUUCUCUUGUUUGCUUCAUGUUUGGAAGAACCUGUGUCUUCCAAACAUGCUUCCUUGGCACAUGAGUGCAUGCAUGGAACUUGAGGAGACAAACACGGAAGUGGAUGGACAAAGCAACUACUCACUAGAUGAAUCACAUCUGAAAUGACCACUUCCAAAGCCUAAGCACUGGCACAACAGUUUAAAGCCUGAUUCAGACAUUCGUUCCCACUCAUCUCCAACGGCAUAAUGGGAAACUGUGUAGGGGUCAAAGCACGAGUCAUCCGUAGGUUGGUUCAAGCCUUCGUUGACUAUGAAGAAAAGGAAGAAAAAGCAAAAAGAGACAUCUUAUUAAUCGAUUUGGACCAUAAGAAGAAAAUCGAAUGACUGUAUACAAUGACUUAAUCUAAAACAAGAAUUCCAGGAGGAUUAAGAGGCAUUCAUCUGUUCUAUCAAGGCAUUAACUGCUCUAAAAAACCAUGGUUAGAUGUGACACCUGUCACAGGCACCCGACAGGAAGCCCAUCUUUUAUUUUUCCCUUGCUUCUAAGAUAAUUGCCAUUUCUGUUGAAACUACUUCAUAGAACAUGGAACAGAUCUUGAGGCAAUUGAAGCUAGUGGAGAACUUUAGUGGGAUGCAAAGACUAAUGAUGCCUCUCCAUUGGUACCUGAGUGACCUUGGGCCAGCUAUUUAAUACCACUCUGCCUUGCUUCCCUCAUCUGCAAUACUAGCGUAAUAAUAAAAAUAUCUAUACCUCCUGGGGAAUCUUGUGAAGAUUAUAUAAGGCCAUGAAUUCAAAACAUUGACCCUUUUCCAAGACUUAGAAAAUGUUCACUAAAUAAAGAAUAAUUAUUAAAGGCUGUCUUUUGCUUAUAA
Molecule: RNA transcript, 7998 nt
Organism: Homo sapiens (human)
Lineage: Eukaryota; Metazoa; Chordata; Mammalia; Primates; Hominidae
Gene: ATIC
Gene name: 5-aminoimidazole-4-carboxamide ribonucleotide formyltransferase/IMP cyclohydrolase
Exons: 18
Source: RefSeq, marked reviewed